RNAcentral lists this long non-coding RNA (1112 nucleotides) under Vigna radiata. RNAcentral's name for it is "long non-coding RNA (VRAD_LNC013961)". The record is from RNAcentral. Lineage: Eukaryota; Viridiplantae; Streptophyta; Magnoliopsida; Fabales; Fabaceae.
AGGUAGCCAAGUUUGGUGGUGAGACUUGGCUAGGUCGAUGCAUGGGGCAAAGAUUUGGGAAAUUUUCAAAGUGUGUGUUUUUGAGAUUUGAUGGUUGGAAUGUAGUCUUUAUAUGACCAAAUGGCUACUUUAAAAAUCUUGGUGCAAGAAAUAUUUCGUUUUGGUUUGUUUUAAAGCUAGCCAAGUUUGGAGGUGAGACUUGGCUAGGUCAGUGCAUGGGGCCAAGAUUUGGGAAAUUUUCAAAGUGUUUGUUUUUUAGGUUUGAUGGUUGAAAUGCAGUCUUUAUAUGACCAAAUGGCUACGGUAAAAAUCUUAGUCCAACAAAUUUUUCAUUUUAGUGGCUGUUGAAGUUAUCCAAGUUUGGUGGUGAUACUUGGCUAGGUCGGUGCAUGGGGCCAAGAUUUCGGAAAUUUUCAAAGUGUUUGUUUUUGAAGUUUGAUGGUUGGAAUGCACUCUUUAUAUGACCAAAUGGAUACGGUAAAAAUCUUGGUGCAACAAAUUUUUCAUUUUGGUGGGUUUUCAAGCUAGCCAAGUUUGGUGGUGAGACUUGGCUAGGUCGGUGCAUGAGGCCAAAAUUAUAUGACCAAAUGUAUACAGUAAAAAUUUUGGCGCAAAAAAUUUUUCAUUUUGGUUUGUUUUAAAGCUAGCCAAGUUUGGUGGUGAGACUCGGCUAGGUCGUGCGUGGGGCCAAGAUUUGGAAAAUUUUCAAAGUGUUUGUUUUUGAAGUUUGAUUGUUGGAAUGCACUCUUUAUAUGACCAAAUAGCUACUGUAAAAAUCAUGGUGCAAAAAAUUUUUCAUUUUGGUGAGAUUUCAAGCUAGCGAAGUUUGGUGGUGAAACUUGGCGAGGUCGGUGCAUGGGGCCAAAAUUUAGUAAAUUCUCAAAGUGUUUGUUUUUUAGGUUUGAUUGUUGGAAUGAAAUCUUUAUAUGAACAAAUGGCUACGGUAUAAAUCUUGGUGCAAAAAAUUUUUCAUUUUGGUGAGAUUUCAAGCUAGCCAAAUUGGGUGGUGAGACCUGGCUUAGUCGGUGCAUGGGAACAAGAUUUGGGAAAUUUUCAAAGUGUUUGUUUUUGAGGUUUGAUUGUUGGAAUGCACUCUUUAUAUGACCAAAUGG